AAGCGCUCCACUUCUUCAUCUUCUUUAUUUUUUUUUUUCUAAUUUUGUUGUCCUCCGUUUGUACGGCUGGUGGUGUGGUGUGGUGUGGUAAUUUCGUAAACCCCGACGGGUCUAUGAUCUUUUGUAUUCAACCGAUCAUGGCUACUAGUUCGUUCGUUCCUACCGGUGAAAUCUUCUCUAGGGUCUUUUUCAAGCGAAUUCUUCGCUAGGGUUUGGGUCUCUCUCAAAUUCCAUCAGUAGGGUUUGGGUCGCUCUGUUAUUCUUCUUCACGAGUCGUCCUACGGUUUGGUUUAUUAAAUCUUAUUUUUAGGUUUGCUGUUGUAGAUUGUGCUGGUAGAUAAUGCUAUGAUCGAUCUAUAUAUUUUCUCAGGCACUUCGUUCUCGCUUCUUAGUUUUCAAACUUUGGGUUUUCUAAAUUGCAAUCGUAUUCACUUGUCGUUUUGUUUUGUUUUGUUGAUUUAGAUUUUGUGGAGGAGGAGGAGGAUGCGCUACGAUUGAUCUGUGAUGGCUUUGAUUGAUGCAGGUCGUAGUUGAGGUAGUGUGGGAUUGCUCUGUUAAAUUCUUAUGAUUCUGAUAUCUUGUGUUACAUCUUCUAGUCUCUUUAGGUGAUAUGCUUACUUAUUUCUGAGAGCUCCUCUGUUGCACUAGGCUGGACGUACAUGUGAGGUUUUGGAUCAGUUAUGGCUUUGAUGGACACGCUUCACUUCUUCUCUGUGCAACGUCUUCAUUGGUUUUUUGGGAGGGAAUUAUGAUCUGAUCAUCACAUAUUUUUGUCCAUAAUACAUCUUCAGGCCUUCGCACAGGUUAGUGAAGGAUCCUACGAUUGACCGGUGAUGGCUUGACUGAUCGUUGUCACUCUAAUUCAUGUUAUAUGAUCCAUCGGUCAUUAUGGAGGCGUAUACUAAGAAGAUCUAUCGGUCAUAGAUCGUGGAGGCAAUGGGAUUGCUCUGUUGAAUCUUUCUUCUCUUCCUUUCUCUUUUGGCUUCUUCUGAUUUCUCAAGAGGUAUGAUCUGUCCUCUGUGUGUCUUUUAUCGGUUGUUUCCAAAUUUUCUGCAUCAAGCACUCCUCUCUGUUUCUCUGCUGAUGUCUGUCUACAUAUAUUCAUAUGCAGAUCUGCUAAGUCUGAGCUCUCUGAUGUAGAAGGUUGUAACUGUGGUUUACUCAGGAUACUAGUAAUGUAUAUUGAUCUCACUAGUGAUGUUGGCAUUAUCUUUUUUCUUAGGUAGUGAGGUUCUAAAAGAGAAAAAUGUCAGGUUACUAACUGUUUCUUCCCCUUUAUUUUAUCUGUUGGUCUUAUCUCUCAUGCUACAUUUAUGUUUAGUGUUUGAUCUAAUAUGCUUGUGACGUUUUUUUUUUUUUUUUUUUUUNUUUCUAAUGUGAAAUGCUCAUCCUUUUUUUAAUUGGUAUUUUGUGCUUGAAAGAUGUCUUUGAUCUUGUGGUUCCCUGUUAGCUCUGUCUUAUCUCCUUCUGGUUUAUUCAGGUUUUCCUUCCUCUUACCCUUGGGUAUCUUUUAAGUAACAAUCUGUUUGUUCUCAUAGACUUUGUUAUUGUAUGUUCAGGUUAUCAAUAAUGUCUUCUGAUCUCCCUGGUGAUCAUUUGUUAUAGCAAGGAGGUUCUACAAGAAUUAAAACGUCAGCAUUGGCAGGCCCUGAAGCGAAGGACGGGAACGAGCGGAAUCAUCAUAUCCUUGUGACAGUUUUUUUUUUUUUUUUUUUUUUUU
Camelina sativa (false flax) is the source of this 1720-nucleotide non-coding RNA. NCBI's taxonomy places the organism in Eukaryota, Viridiplantae, Streptophyta, Magnoliopsida, Brassicales, Brassicaceae. The record is from RefSeq and is a predicted model, not a curated record.